GAUGAACGCUGGCGGCGUGCCUAAUACAUGCAAGUCGAGCGAACAGACGAGGAGCUUGCUCCUCUGACGUUAGCGGCGGACGGGUGAGUAACACGUGGAUAACCUACCUAUAAGACUGGGAUAACUUCGGGAAACCGGAGCUAAUACCGGAUAAUAUAUUGAACCGCAUGGUUCAAUAGUGAAAGACGGUUUUGCUGUCACUUAUAGAUGGAUCCGCGCCGCAUUAGCUAGUUGGUAGGGUAACGGCUUACCAAGGCAACGAUGCGUAGCCGACCGGAGAGGGUGAUAGGCCACACGGGAACUGGGACACGGUCCAGACUCCUGCGGGAGGCAGCAGUAGGGAAUCUUCCGCAAUGGGGGAAAGCCUGACGGAGCAAGCCCGCGUGAGUGAUGAAGGUCUUCGGAGCGUAAAACUCUGUUAUUAGGUAAAAACAAAUGUGUAAGUAACUAUGCACGUCUUGACGGUACCUAAUAAGAAAGCAACGGCUAACUACGUG
RNAcentral lists this ribosomal RNA (497 nucleotides) under uncultured bacterium. RNAcentral's name for it is "partial 16S ribosomal RNA". It matches the Rfam family "Bacterial small subunit ribosomal RNA", at positions 28 to 507 of the family's 1533-position model. The record is from RNAcentral.